Long non-coding RNA from Lolium rigidum, 580 nucleotides. RefSeq lists it as uncharacterized. The record is from RefSeq and is a predicted model, not a curated record. The transcript has 2 exons. Lineage: Eukaryota; Viridiplantae; Streptophyta; Magnoliopsida; Poales; Poaceae.
CUCCGUGCCGCUCCUCCACCCACGGCGUGACGCGCUCGAGCAUGGUGUGCUGCCCAUUCCGAAGCUCGAGGAGGUACUGGAUAUAUAGCCGUCGGAUACCAGGCGUUCCUGGCGCUUGGCAUGCUCACGACCCUGAGCUAGUCUGACGGUGGCGCAUGCCCGGACCUUGUCUCCACCGGAUCCACGGCGGCGUCCACCGCGUGCGUUGGAGGGCCCAACAGUGCCCUAGCGCCGACCUCCUCCUCCUUCCCGACAUACUAUUCUGAAGUUGCCAACACAUGGCAUCUCGUCAACAAUUUGCAGAAAGGCCGCCAUUACUUGGCGCACGAUUAAGGGCAUUGGCAUACUCCUAGACUGUGCUCGAUGGUACCAACCCGGAUUCAGGAAUAUUCAGCUCGUUGAUCAGUUGAUCUGCAGUCCGCCAAAGUAUGCGAAGUAUUUUGAGAAAUUUUCUGAGAUGGGCAUGGAUCUGUCAGAGAGGAGUGCUAUGUAAUCUCUCACAUCAGAGAGGAGAUUUCUGAGGCACCUUGUUGACUGCUUCUUGAGCUCUCGGGAUUGGCGGCGGCGCUUUAAAAUGUCA